GACGAACGCUGGCGGCGUGCUUAACACAUGCAAGUCGAACGCGCCUGUCCUCUGGGUUUCUGGGGGGUGGGUGAGUGGCGAACGGGUGAGUAACACGUGAGUAACCUGCCCCCUUCUUCGGGAUAACGGUCUGAAAGGGCUGCUAAUACCGGGUAUUCACUGGUCUCCGCAUGGGGUCUGGUGGAAAGGUUUUUUUCUGGUGGGGGAUGGGCUCGCGGCCUAUCUGCUUGUUGGUGGGGUGAUGGCCCACCAAGGGUUUGCCGGGUAGCCGGCCUGAGAGGGUGCCCGGUCACAUUGGGACCGCGAUACGGCCCCGACUCCUACGGGAGGCAGAAGUGGGGAAGAUUGAACAAUGGGCGCUAGCCUGAUGCAGCCGCGCGGCGGGAGGGGUAGAGGCCUUCGGGUUGUGAACCUCUUUGGCCCGUGGUCCAGCCGCGACGUGGGUCGUGGUGAGGGUAGUGGGUAAAGAAGCGCCGGCUAACUACGUG
RNAcentral lists this ribosomal RNA (488 nucleotides) under uncultured bacterium. Its description in RNAcentral is "partial 16S ribosomal RNA". It matches the Rfam family "Bacterial small subunit ribosomal RNA", at positions 28 to 507 of the family's 1533-position model. The record is from RNAcentral.